GUUCUGGUAAGAGCAGGACAGAGGUUUCUAGGGCAUGAAGGAAAAAAAUAUUGGAAUAUAGUUCUAGAAAGCCUGGCUGGAAAAUAUGGAAUCUGUUUCAUGUGCUGCCAGUGAGACAAUGUUGUUUGCGUGCUUUCCUCAAAGUCCUGCAUCCUGCUCGCGGUGCUGAGGUCUGUGCGAACCCUUUUUGGAGCGCUUUUUGCGGAGGGGACCCGGGGGACACUCAUGGCUCUCUGCAUCUUCCUCGGGAGGGCGAGAGGAGCGGCAGAGCCCCAUCUCUCCGCUGAGCACCCGAGGGGCCGACCUCAAGUCGUGUCGGGGGAGGUUUAGGCUGGAGAUUAAGGAAAGGC
This 350-nucleotide long non-coding RNA is filed under the name Cyanoderma ruficeps (rufous-capped babbler). RNAcentral describes it as "lncRNA (ENSCRFG00000003943.1)". The record is from RNAcentral. Lineage: Eukaryota; Metazoa; Chordata; Aves; Passeriformes; Timaliidae.